This 854-nucleotide unclassified non-coding RNA is filed under the name Haliotis rubra (blacklip abalone). RNAcentral's name for it is "uncharacterized LOC124266922, transcript variant X2". Lineage: Eukaryota; Metazoa; Mollusca; Gastropoda; Lepetellida; Haliotidae. The record is from RNAcentral.
GAGAGGAGUGAUGGCAUGAGGGUGAACAUCAUGCAGACUGGACGAUAUCUGCACCACUCCAUCAGCGAGGAACUCGGGCCCCACCUCCACACCUUCCAUAAACCCCACAGGUAUAACCUAGGAAGCAGUCAAAAAUGCGAGGACGAUCACAGUGCCUGUACAGACCUGAUAACGUCCUUCACGCGAGACCACGCCCGCCUUCCCGUUACUCACCUCACCGCCAUGUCCUUCCACACCAAGAACAACCCGCUGUUUGAGGAGGAUCUGCCAAUACUCCUCAGUCUGGUCCAUCAAGAUAACAUCACACAGGAUGCAGAUUUCAUGCAGAUGUUGAUGGAAGUGGGUACCAGUCUGUAUCAGGAUGUGGCUGUGAUGACUGUGGAUGUGGAUCUGUACCCAGACUGGGUGUCACGGUUCGUACCGGCAGGGUAUCACAGGAAAGCAGCAGUGGAGUCAGAUGUGCCUCGUCUGUUUCACUACCCACGCGUCUGUUUGGUCCUCCCCCGCGACCACCAUCAUGCAGCCUUCUACCCUCCUGUCGAUGCCGCCGACGAUGUGGUCAGCACCCACACACACUUCACCUACACAACUGAUGGAUUGUUGGGAUUUGCCCGAAACUUCUUGCAAGAUCCGGCAUCCCACCUUAUACAAACAGAACACUUUUAAUGUUGUAACAAUUCAAGGUCAGACAGAAACUGUUAUUUGGUACUACCUUCCACAGAGUGUUGACAGUUCUUCUUGGGACAAGCAAGUGUUUGGGGAUCUCGUAAAGAAAUGGACACGCAACACAUAUUACUCUGAACUAUGGCGGUACAGACGUCAACAGGGGCGAUAAUACAGGUAACAGACUGCAG